UGACCGUGCAAAGGUAGCGUAAUCACUUGUCUUUUAAAUAAAGACUGGUAUGAACGGCACCACGAAGGUUCAACUGUCUCCUGCAUCUGAUCCAUUAAACUGACCUCCCCGUGCAGAGGCGGGGAUACAACCAUAAGACGAGAAGACCCUAUGGAGCUUUAAACUAAAGGCAACUGCCAACUAUAAUCAUACCCGUAAGGAAUUAAUAAUAAAACAAGCAGAAAUUGACCUAAAGUUUUCGGUUGGGGCGACCACGGAGAAUAAAAAAUCCUCCUUGAAGAAUAGGGCCUACCACCCUUAACCAAGAACCACCAUUCUAAGUAACAAAAUUUAUGACUACAAUUGAUCCAGUCUUACUGAUCAACGAACCAAGUUACCCUAGGGAUAACAGCGCAAUCCAUUUCAAAAGUUCCUAUCGACAAAUGGGUUUACGACCUCGAUGUUGGAUCAGGGCAUCCCAGUGGUGCAGCCGCUACUAAAGGUUCGUUUGUUCAACGAUUAAAGCCCUACGUGAUCU
Molecule: ribosomal RNA, 517 nt
Filed under: Xenopus gilli (Cape clawed frog)
Lineage: Eukaryota; Metazoa; Chordata; Amphibia; Anura; Pipidae
Description: partial 16S ribosomal RNA
Rfam family: Bacterial large subunit ribosomal RNA
Source: RNAcentral